RNAcentral lists this ribosomal RNA (403 nucleotides) under uncultured bacterium. Its description in RNAcentral is "partial 16S ribosomal RNA". It matches the Rfam family "Bacterial small subunit ribosomal RNA", at positions 28 to 526 of the family's 1533-position model. The record is from RNAcentral.
GACGAACGCUGGCGGCGUGCCUAAUACAUGCAAGUCGAACGCAGUGGGGACGGGUGAGUAACCCGUGGGUAACCUCCCAUCAGAGGGGAUCACACUUGGAAACAGGUGCUAAACCGAUACUGAUGGAUGGACCCGCGGUGCAUUAGCUAGUUGGUGAGGUAACGGCUCACCAAGGCCACGAUGCCUAGACGCGCGGAGAGGGUGAGCGGCCACACUGGGACUGCGCCACUGCCCAGACUCAUACGGGAGGCAGCAGUAGGGAAUCUUCGGCAAGGGAGGAAAGUCUGACCGAGCAACGCCGCGUGAGUGAAGAAGGUUUUCGGAUCGUAAAACUCUGGUGUUAGAGAAGCGGUAUCUAACCAGAAAGCAACGGCUAACUACGUGCCAGCAGCCGCGGUAAUAC